This 1622-nucleotide long non-coding RNA is filed under the name Homo sapiens (human). RNAcentral's name for it is "HSALNT0153387". Lineage: Eukaryota; Metazoa; Chordata; Mammalia; Primates; Hominidae. The record is from RNAcentral.
AGCCAGGAGGUGGGACUUUUAAGAGAGCUUCAGCUGCAGUAGUAUAGAGAGGAUCAGGUGGUGGGCGGAGCCCUAGAGCUCCCAAGAGAUUUUGUCCUUUGUCUUCAGCUACCAGAGCAGGUAAAGAAAGACCAUCAGGUAGAGGCAGGGUUAGGCAUUUUUGAGCUCAAAGUCUCCUUGGCUGGGGCUUGCUGUGGCUGCUGUAGGGGUUAGGGGUGUGGUUACCAAGCCAAUGGAGUUAUGUUCCCAGGGGAUUAUGGCUGCUUUCGCUGUGUCAUGCAGGUUACCAGGGAUGUGGGGGAAAGCCAGCAGUUACAGGCCUCACCUAGCUCCCCCGCAGCCCAAAAGUCUGGUCUCACUUCCACGGUGUCGCCACCAACAGCAUUGAGUUAAUUUCCAGGCAGUGGGUGAGAAGGGCUGAGAACUUGCCCCAGGCUACCAGCCUUGGGGAGGGGAGGCGGGGGGAGAAAGUAAGCAGGGCUUUCAGGUUUUGCACCUCCCUGCCUGCUGCAGCUUCUGUGCUAUGUCUGCACUUCCAAUUCACCUCCUGCCUCAGGUUCUGUCCAGAAAACUUAGCGCUUGGUUGAAAUUGUUACAGAGAUCAUCUGGAAGUUUCCUUCUCCCUGUGAUCUUUUCCUAGUUCCUCUGCAGCCCUCCUCAAGAACCCCUGUAAGACAAAGUCAGAAAUGGUUUUCCAGGGGACAAAGAGUGCCCACAGGGCUCUUCCCACUGUUUCUUUUACCGUUGUGUUUUGCUCGGCUCUCUAAAUUUGUCUCAGCUCCAGGGGCCUGCAACAGCAAUCUGCCUCCUUCAAAGGGUCUGUGGAUCCUCUUGGCUUUCCCGGUAUGUUCCUGUGGUAGUUCUUGGAGCAAAAGUUCACGAUGUGAGUCUCCACACACUGCUCUGUCCACUGGAGUGGGAGCUGCAAGUUAGUCCUGCCUCCAAUCUGCCAUUUUCCCCCACCUGAUCCAUCAUUCUAUUCUCUUUGUCUGAGGGGAAGGCUUGGAGCAGAUGGCAGAAGAAGCUGUUUAGGUAGCCUAAAAUGCAUUGUCAUUACAUUUGUCUGGAAGGCAAAGCCUGGGCUGGAGAUCUAGGCGGGAUCUGGCACAUCAUCACCACCUUUCCUGGUUUACUUAAAUGAAUUCUCAAGAUUAACUCUGAAGCCAUGGUAAAACAAAUAGAGAUCAUGUAUUGUUCUCCAAAGAUUCUCCAUCAUAUACUUGUAGAGCUGGUCUACACCAUGAUCUUGUCAUAGGGAAUAACAAAAUAGUAAGAGUGGGAUGUUAGAAUGAGAUCAACAAAUAACUUUACCUUUGAACAGAUGUUAAAUUGCAGUGUGUGGGGCUCAAUUUACUAUUAUCAAAUAUCUUCCCUAUAAAAAUACACAUUUAUCUGACUGGAAAGACAUUCAGAGUUUUAGGCAGACAAACAAAUGUAUGUGAACAUCUAACCUGCUUUAAAAUUCUGAACAUUUCUAUUAAACGCUGGGUCAAAAUUCUGGUUCUUGUUGAGUUGUCUUUUUUCUUCUUUGCAGCUCUCUCACUGGGCUUGACUAAAUGAAGAAGUUAGGUUUGUUGUCUGCAAUAAUCUAAGGCUUUUAGAAAACUCAACUUGGGAUGUCC